This 74-nucleotide transfer RNA is filed under the name Cyanobium sp. M30B3. RNAcentral describes it as "tRNA-Arg". It matches the Rfam family "tRNA". Rfam says of the family: Transfer RNA (tRNA) molecules are approximately 80 nucleotides in length. Their secondary structure includes four short double-helical elements and three loops (D, anti-codon, and T loops). The record is from RNAcentral. Lineage: Bacteria; Bacillati; Cyanobacteriota; Cyanophyceae; Synechococcales; Prochlorococcaceae.
GCUCCCUUAGCUCAGCUGGAUAGAGCAGCCGCCUUCUAAGCGGCCGGUCGCUGGUUCGAAUCCAGCAGGGGGCG